RNAcentral lists this long non-coding RNA (202 nucleotides) under Homo sapiens (human). RNAcentral's name for it is "non-protein coding lnc-C8orf89-4:1". Lineage: Eukaryota; Metazoa; Chordata; Mammalia; Primates; Hominidae. The record is from RNAcentral.
CCUCUUUUUCCGGCUGGAACCAUGGAGGGUGUAGAGAGAAGAAGAAGGAGGUUCCUGCUGUGCCAGAAACCCUUAAGAAAAAGCGAAGGAAUUUCGCAGAGCUGAAGAUCAAGCGCCUGAGAAAGAAGUUUGCCCAAAAGAUCUUCGAAAGGCAAGGAGGAAGCUUAUCUAUGAAAAAGCAAAGCACUAUCACAAGGAAUAU